UACGUAGGGAGCGAGCGUUGUCCGGAAUUACUGGGUGUGAAGGGAGCGUAGGCGGGAUCGCAAGUCAGGUGUGAAAUGCAGGGGCUCAACCCCUGAACUGCACUUGAAACUGUGGUUCUUGAGUGAAGUAGAGGUAAGCGGAAUUCCUAGUGUAGCGGCGAAAUGCGUAGAUACUAGGAGGAACAUCAGUGGCGAAGGCAGCUUACUGGGCUUUAACUGACGCUGAGGCUCGAAAGCGUGGGGAGCGAAC
RNAcentral lists this ribosomal RNA (250 nucleotides) under uncultured prokaryote. RNAcentral's name for it is "partial 16S ribosomal RNA". It matches the Rfam family "Bacterial small subunit ribosomal RNA", at positions 524 to 773 of the family's 1533-position model. The record is from RNAcentral.